Molecule: long non-coding RNA, 829 nt
Filed under: Homo sapiens (human)
Lineage: Eukaryota; Metazoa; Chordata; Mammalia; Primates; Hominidae
Description: HSALNT0084207
Source: RNAcentral
GUAGGGAACACCUCCCCCAGCCUCGCACCCCUGCUUUGAAGUUUCUGCUCUGUGCCUCUUAUCUUCUGGUUCCCAAUUCCAGUUCCCUGGAGAUGAAAUUGCCCUUAACAUGGAACAUCACUUCCUGGAUUCUACUGUAUCACCCUGCAGAGGUAUCCAGUUGAUAUCUUUAGCCUCUUUCCAAGAUAUAGCGACUUUGACUGAGUGGUGGCUGUAGGAAGAGAUGAGUCAAUGGUAAGUGUGGGGAUCUCUAUGAAAAGACUUUCUUAAAAGUUUAAGGACAAGUUAGGCACUCCCAGGCUUCCCAGGAGGGGGCAAUGAAAAUAGAAAGCAACUUGUGUGACCCAUCUAUUCCGCCUGAGAAGGAUGGUGCCUUUUAAUUAAACAAAUUACCAAAAAUGCUUAAAGGUUAAAUGGAAGGUGUCUGAGCAAGAUAUGGACCUUAUCAGCAUGGUGCAUGGAGAAGUUCCUCUAUGGCAGCAUGUUGUGUGAACUUAGAUUGCAUAGACGUGGAGAGUAAAGAUUGCUCUAGGGACCUUGGUAAUAGAGAGAGACGAUAAUAAUCUAGCAAGAGAAAUAGAAGGAAAGCAAGAAUUAUCAAAAGUGCAUACAAUAGGAUGGAGAUGGGCGAAAAGAUGACUGAGGCUAGAAUCUGGAGCUGAAUCCCUGAGAAACGUGUGCAUUAUUUAUACACUAAGGAAGUCAGAAAGAAUGUCCGGUUUAAUAGAGAAGAUGAUGAAUUUUAGCUAUUCUCUUUUGAUUUAUUUAUUUGAACUUCAGCACUUAAUAUAUUUAAACAUAUCUGUGUACUUGUAAGCCACAUUUUCCA